CCUACGGGUGGCAGCAGUCGAGAAUCAUUCUCAAUGGGCGAAAGGCUGAUGCUGCCACGCCGCGUGGGGGACUGAAGUUCCUAGGAUUGUAAACUUCUGUUAUGUGGGAGCAAAUUCAGACGAUAGUACCACAAGAAAAAGCAUUGGCUAAAUCCGUGCCAGUAGCCGAGGUAAUACGGGGGAUGUGAGCGUUAUCCGGAUUUAUUGGGUCUAAUGGGUGCGUAGGCGGUCGGGAAAGUCAGCGGUAAAAGCCCGGGGCUCAACCCCGGCGAGCCGUUGAAACUGUCGGACUAGAGAGGGCGAGAGGUACGCGGAAUGCGCAGUGUAGCGGUGAAAUGCAUAGAUAUCGCGCAGAACUCCGAUUGCGAAGGCAGCAUACCGGCGCCGGACUGACGCUGAGGCACGAAAGCGUGGGUAUCGAACAGGAUUAGAUACCCUUGUAGUC
This 445-nucleotide ribosomal RNA is filed under the name uncultured bacterium. RNAcentral describes it as "partial 16S ribosomal RNA". It matches the Rfam family "Bacterial small subunit ribosomal RNA", at positions 338 to 795 of the family's 1533-position model. The record is from RNAcentral.